Oncorhynchus masou masou (cherry salmon) is the source of this 676-nucleotide long non-coding RNA. RefSeq lists it as uncharacterized. The record is from RefSeq and is a predicted model, not a curated record. NCBI's taxonomy places the organism in Eukaryota, Metazoa, Chordata, Actinopteri, Salmoniformes, Salmonidae. The transcript has 4 exons.
ACGGCUGUCUAGCCUUGAAACCAAAACAUUAAUCUCCUUCAAACCACAUGGUAAUAGUUCUGGACAAACAUUUGCUCAACAUUCGUUCAUCUUCCAGGUGUCUUAGGGGUAUUUCGAGUCCGUGUUGAAAUUCCACAAAGAAAUACUGACAAUUUACCGUGUUCCACUCUUGAGUGAUCUACAUUUCAGGUCUUGGGAAUGGAGGGCCUUUUGAACACGGUCUUGAUGGGGAAAUUACUUUGGAACUGGAGGGGAAGAGGAACUAGAAUCUAGAUCAAUACGGUUUCAGGAGGCUGUGAGUGUUUCUGAAAGGGAAUUUCCACCUUGUUCCGUUGGAAUUGGAGACAGACAUAGAAUAAAGCAUGUCUUGUCAGAUGGAUACCAGGACUACUCUCCUCCCGGUCAACCUGUUCACCUGUCCCUUUCAACCCACCCUUAGCCAUGUUGGAAGAAAGCGGAUGUUGCCGAUUUUCACCUAACUUCUAUUUCCCUUAAAAAACGAAGGUGGCGUGGCGGUCCUUCAUCCUGGUCAUCAAACUUUGUCAUCGAAGUCUGGCAUUCUCUGGAUUUAUGGAUUUAUGGUGCUUUCAAAACAACUGGGAACUCAGAAAAAAAACAAGGUUUAACCAUAAACUUUACGUUUAGUUUGUAUUUGUUGUUUUUUCGGUGUUCAUUC